AUUAAGAUUAUUCUGACAAUUCAUUAGUAAAGAUUGAUGAUUUUUUCAUAAAGAUCGAUAUUUUGCCCAAUCUCCUAGGAAUUGAAACUGAAAAUGGUUCAUUUGAAGAAUCUCAUAAAAUUUUGAUUGAAGAAAAUCCUUCAAAUGAAAUCAUUAAAAUGGUUCAUAAUCUUGAUUCUGAUACUGAAGUUAAUUUGAAUUCUAUGUCUUUACUAAAAUCCUCUG
This 225-nucleotide long non-coding RNA is filed under the name Elaeis guineensis (African oil palm). RNAcentral describes it as "long non-coding RNA (EGUI_LNC044351)". The record is from RNAcentral. Lineage: Eukaryota; Viridiplantae; Streptophyta; Magnoliopsida; Arecales; Arecaceae.